This is a non-coding RNA of Coffea arabica (coffee), 1523 nucleotides long. NCBI's taxonomy places the organism in Eukaryota, Viridiplantae, Streptophyta, Magnoliopsida, Gentianales, Rubiaceae. The record is from RefSeq and is a predicted model, not a curated record.
CUAAUUGGGGUUUAACGUUGGGGAAUGCAGAGAGAAAUGAAGCAAGAGUAGUACAACCUGCAGGAGCAGUUGUACCUAAUGAAGCCGCUGCCUCCUGAGACCGAGCAAUGGAAACAAUCACCGCAGAAGAAGCUCUUCUCUUCAUCGUCAUCAUCUUCUACGCCUUCAGCUGAUGAGGAUUUUAAAUUGGUUGAUUUUGAAUGGCAUGAUGUCGUAUCGAUCUCAAGUUGGCUGAACCCAUUCUCUCUCUCUCUCUCUCCAUUUUUUUCCCCCUUUUAACGGCUGGUUUAAAAGGAGGCAGGAGGAAGUAAUUAUAAAUUAUUCGUGCCAAAAGUUGGCCUAUUACAUUAAAAUAUCGGAAAAGAAAAAAAACUUUCUAUACUUCGGUAUAAUUUCGAUUCUUCAAAUUACACUUUAGUCACGUAUAAAUAGAAAAUUGAUUUUAUAAGCCUAUAUUCGGUACAAUUUCGAUUCUUCUAAUGUACAAAUCACAGGCUUCACAAAAUAUGACCAAGAGACUCCUCUGGAAAUGUCUGCAGGGAAUUCUUCCUGUUAGUGCAGUAGUAAAGGAAAGGUGCGGUGGGGGUGAUCAUAUCUGUAAAUACUGUGGAGAAAGUUUUGAAACGAUAGAACAUAUGUUAUUUUUCUGUAGGAAUGUUAGAACAAUCUGGAAGUGUGCACCUCUAAGUUGGGAUGGACUGGAUGAAUAUAGAAACAAUUUCUGACAUUGGUGGGAGGAGUUGAAGGAUGCCGUGAUCAAAGAAAGUGGGAAGGAGCACAUAAUUUUCACAGUAAAUCUCCUUGGCAGAUCUGGAAAUCGAGGAAUGAAAUACACAGUUUAACAACAUAUACAGAGAUCCAAUGGUAUCAGUGAACAAAGCAGUGGUGGAAUGGAAUGAAUACCAAGAAGCUCAGGAGAAGGAAUUGGAGCUAGAGGAUCAAAAACAGGAAGCAAAAAGAGACGAUCAGAGUUGGAAGCAACCACAAGAGGACUAGAUAAAAGUGAAUACAGAUGCAGCCUUAAACAACAAAGCUGGCAGAGUAGGAUGAGGCAUCACAAGAAGAAAUUGGGAAGGCAAAGUGAUAGCAACAUGGGUCUACCCAUCAAAAAGCUGCUCUAAUGCAAAACUUGAAGAGGCAUUAGCACUCAGAGCUGCAAUGAUACGAGCUAAACAACAAGGAUGAAAGAAAGUAGAAUUUGAAUCAAAUUGCAAGGAAAUGGUAGACAAGGUGAAUGGGGAGGAAGAUGAUCGAUCGAUCACUGCUACUGUGAUAAAGGAUAUUAGAAGUUUAAAGUAUGACUUUAACCAAUGUUGUAUCUCCUUCACUAGGAGGGAGAACAACUGUAUUAGCCAUAAAUUAGCAAAAUUUGCUAUGAACUUGGCAAAUGUAACUGAAUGGAAGCACACCUUUCCGGUUUGGCUGCUUGAAAUUACUCAAGCAGAUUUGGUGAGGCAGUGGCCUCAGUGUUUGUAAGACGUUUUGUUGAAGAAAUGGAAGUUGCCAUUUUGACCAAAAAAAAA